GAUGAACGCUGACAGAAUGCUUAACACAUGCAAGUCAACUUGAACUUCGGUUUGGGUGGCGGACGGGUGAGUAGCGCGUAAAGAACUUGCCUCACAGAUAGGGACAACAUUUGGAAACGAAUGCUAAUACCUGAUAUUAUGAUUAUAUGGCAUCGUAUAAUUAUGAAAGCUAUAUGCGCUGUGAGAGAGCUUUGCGUCCCAUUAGCUAGUUGGAGAGGUAACGGCUCACCAAGGCGAUGAUGGGUAGCCGGCCUGAGAGGGUGAUCGGCCACAAGGGGACUGAGACACGGCCCUUACUCCUACGGGAGGCAGCAGUGGGGAAUAUUGGACAAUGGACCAAGAGUCUGAUCCAGCAAUUCUGUGUGCACGAUGAAGUUUUUCGGAAUGUAAAGUGCUUUCAGUUGGGAAGAAAAAAAUGACGGUACCAACAGAAGAAGUGACGGCUAAAUACGUG
Molecule: ribosomal RNA, 454 nt
Filed under: uncultured bacterium
Lineage: Bacteria
Description: partial 16S ribosomal RNA
Rfam family: Bacterial small subunit ribosomal RNA
Source: RNAcentral